This 492-nucleotide ribosomal RNA is filed under the name uncultured bacterium. RNAcentral's name for it is "partial 16S ribosomal RNA". It matches the Rfam family "Bacterial small subunit ribosomal RNA", at positions 29 to 507 of the family's 1533-position model. The record is from RNAcentral.
AGUGAACGCUGGCGGUAGGCCUAACACAUGCAAGUCGAACGGCAGCACAGUAAGAGCUUGCUCUUACGGGUGGCGAGUGGCGGACGGGUGAGGAAUACAUCGGAAUCUACUUUUUCGUGGGGGAUAACGUAGGGAAACUUACGCUAAUACCGCAUACGACCUACGUGUGAAAGCAGGGGAUCUUCGGACCCUGCGCGAUUGAAUGAGCCGAUGUCGGAUUAGCUAGGUGGCGGGGUAAAGGCCCACCAAGGCGACGAUCCGUAGCUGGUCUGAGAGGAUGAUCCGCCACACUGGAACUGAGAAACGGCCCAGACUCCGACGGGAGGCAGCAGUGGGGAAUAUUGGACAAUGGGGGAAAGCCUGAUACAGCCAUACCGGGUGAGUGAAGAAGGCGUUCGGGUUGUAAAGCGCUUUUGUUGGGAAAGAAAAGCAGCAGGUUAAUACCCCACUGUUCUGACGGUACCCAAAGAAUAAGCACCGGCUAACUUCGUG